RNAcentral lists this ribosomal RNA (434 nucleotides) under uncultured Ruminococcus sp. Its description in RNAcentral is "bacterial SSU rRNA". It matches the Rfam family "Bacterial small subunit ribosomal RNA", at positions 341 to 792 of the family's 1533-position model. Lineage: Bacteria; Bacillati; Bacillota; Clostridia; Eubacteriales; Oscillospiraceae. The record is from RNAcentral.
ACGGGAGGCAGCAGUGGGGAAUAUUGCACAAUGGGGGAAACCCUGAUGCAGCGAUGCCGCGUGGAGGAAGAAGGUUUUCGGAUUGUAAACUCCUGUCUUAAAGGACGAUAAUGACGGUACUUUAGGAGGAAGCUCCGGCUAACUACGUGCCAGCAGCCGCGGUAAUACGUAGGGAGCGAGCGUUGUCCGGAAUUACUGGGUGUAAAGGGAGCGUAGGCGGGACUGCAAGUCAGAUGUGAAAUGCCGGGGCUUAACCCCGGAGCUGCAUUUGAAACUGUGGUUCUUGAGUGAAGUAGAGGCAAGCGGAAUUCCUGGUGUAGCGGUGAAAUGCGUAGAUAUCAGGAGGAACACCGGUGGCGAAGGCGGCUUGCUGGGCUUUUACUGACGCUGAGGCUCGAAAGCGUGGGUAGCAAACAGGAUUAGAUACCCUGGUA